Molecule: long non-coding RNA, 1326 nt
Organism: Papilio polytes (common Mormon)
Lineage: Eukaryota; Metazoa; Arthropoda; Insecta; Lepidoptera; Papilionidae
Exons: 3
Source: RefSeq, a predicted model, not a curated record
AAUCUUUUGAAGACUUGGUGCCAAAUAUCUAGAGACCAGACUAUCUACGAGAGAGAAAAUUAUUUAUUUAAAAAAAGAUGAUCCUCAAACUAAUCCCAUCAGCAAAAUAAUCACGAAAUACCGUUGCUUUCGCUACGCCCUGGUUCCCAAGUAGGCCAUGUAUCAUGGCUGUUCGCUACAAUGCUAUGGAAGACAAUAACUUCAAUAUAUUGCGUAGUCCAUUGAAGAAUUCGUUAAAAAUCAAUCUUAUAAAUCGUAGUUUAAUUACUCAAUGAAUAUUAACCAAAAUGGUAGAUACUGCAAUCGUGAGUUCUUAAUUUCGUAAACUAAUUUUAGUCGGUAAUUAAAUUCAAAUUGUUCAUAUGCUUUGAGCUGUAUAAUUGUUAUCUUACUAGCUUAAUAAUAGCUUAAUGCAUUUAGUUAAGUAGGUUUGUUAUUAGAGACGACGACCUACUUUAACAACCAGUGCCUUAUCGAUAUGUACAAGUGGCCAGUGUUUUUUAACAUACAAACUGACAAUUGUUGUACUAAACAAAGUAAAAACUAAAAAGUUUUUAUUCAAAUUAUGCUUAAAUUCCGAACACGACGUUUAAUUUGCAGCCACCCGGAUAAAACCGCUACUCUCACCGAGUUGUUGCGACCAAUCAAAAACCAGUAUUCGAAACCAGUUUUUAAAAUAUUCGCGAUAUACCAUUAAAAACCUUCAUGUUUGUCGAUGAACCGAACUAUAAAAUACCAUAGAUUGAAGAUGACUGGCAAAAUUACGAGGUUAUGUCAUUUGUCAACUUAGGUGAUAAAUGCAGUGCCAACAACUUUUGUUUAAAUGUUCCAUUGAGCACCAAUGCCACAAUUUUUAGCACGUUUAGCGACACGGGUGUGAAUACGUUCAAUGUUUGAAUGACUGUUGUAUUUCGUAGUAUUUUCAAAGACAAGGACGCACUGUCAAGGACAAGAAGUUACGAUAAUAUAGGUCAGAAAGUUAUUUAAUGCUGACAAUAUUGACGAUAAUCUAAUGUUUUUUCAGAAUACACAGUUAACACAGUUUUUUUUCUUCGCGUAACACCGCACCUAUAUGUAGGGUCUGUCUUUUUGGACCUUGAGACAUAGUGCAUGGUGCAUUAUGGUGCAGAAUAAACAAGAUGGAUUGCAUCACCCAUUGAACAAACCGACCUCGGAUUAAAGUAACGAAAACGGACGUGCUGGAGUCCUAAUUUUAGUCCUCUUAGCCUUCCUACCAUUUUCGUCCACGAUACAAGGAAAGGAUGGACGCAUAGAUAUGGCUGGCUAAUAUCCUAUUUCUGUGCGUCCCCUUCUCCGUCGAUUAAA